This 535-nucleotide non-coding RNA is filed under the name Pongo abelii (Sumatran orangutan). Lineage: Eukaryota; Metazoa; Chordata; Mammalia; Primates; Hominidae. The record is from RNAcentral.
UGGAUUAUCUGAGGAAAGGGGCAGGCGUUCCAGGAGUUUGCAUCUCUGAGACUGGAGAUGAAGAUGGGUGGGGGGGUGGGGGUGGGUAGAAAUAAUGAGGUCAGGGCCCCGCGCAGUGGCUCAUGCCUGUAAUCCCAGCACUUCGGAAGGGCGAGGCAGGUGGAUCACCUGAGGUCAGGAGUUUGAGACCAGCCUGACCAACAUGGUGAAACCCCAUCUGCACUAAAAAUACAAAAAAUUUAGCCGGGUUUGGUGGCAGGCGCCUGUACUCCCAGCUACUUGAGAGGAGGCUGAGGCAGAAGAAUCACUUGAACCCGGGAGGCAGAAGUUGCAGUGAGCCAAGACUGUGCCACUGCAAUCCAGCCUGGGCAAAAGAGCGAGACUCCAUCUCAAAAAUAAUAAUAAUAAUAAUGAGGUCAGUUUCAGACGUGCUUUUGAGACAUCUGUGGGCAUAUAGUCUGGAGCUCAGAAGAGACAUCAAGGCCAGUUAGAGAAAUCGAGAACAAUUAAAGUAUGGAGGGUAGUCGAAAGCAUC